Megalopta genalis is the source of this 329-nucleotide non-coding RNA. Lineage: Eukaryota; Metazoa; Arthropoda; Insecta; Hymenoptera; Halictidae. The record is from RefSeq and is a predicted model, not a curated record.
CUAGCCCUAGAUCGCUCGAAGAAACGAGAGUUGGACACGAAUUAUAUUCCACUGUUUACACUGUUCGACAAAUUCGGAGCGAUCCAACGACGACUAUCUUGGAUUCUUUCGAUCCGCUCAUCGUUUCUCAGUUUCGUCGCUAUGUAACUUGACGGGGAAACGUUUCGUUUUGCGUAAAAAGAAAUCUUUCUUUGAAGAGGACGCACAGUGGAAGGGAUCCACGGAAACACGAACUAAAUUAACUUAACCAACUAAAUUAACGAACUUAUUGUUAUGUUUACCUCUUUCAUUGUAAGUAGCAAAAUUACAACAAAAUUAUUCUAACAAAA